This 378-nucleotide ribosomal RNA is filed under the name Triticum aestivum (bread wheat). RNAcentral's name for it is "partial small subunit ribosomal RNA". The record is from RNAcentral. Lineage: Eukaryota; Viridiplantae; Streptophyta; Magnoliopsida; Poales; Poaceae.
AUGCAACUAAUUUCAUGGUUCUAUGGUGAUGCUGAGAAUGUACCAUACACAACACAGGACCUUGCAAAUCAGCGAGCCAAAUUUCGCAAGGAGUAUCGUAAUGCAGACGUGGGGAGCACAAUUGCAUACUUUGUGGAGCUAAGGGCAAAGGAUCCAGAUUCCUAUUGCAGAAUGAAACUUGAUGAUGAAGACAGGGUGGAAAACGUGUUCUGGAUAGAUGGCGCAUCACGUAGGGCAUACACAAAAUACAACGACAUUGUGUCGUUCGACACAACGUACAUGACUAAUAUGUACAAGAUGUUGUGUGCCCCUUUCAUUGGCAUUAACACCCGCAGGCAAUCAAUCCAAUUCGGUUGUGUUCUGUUCGAAACAAACUGA